UCUCUCUGCCCUAUAAAAGGCACACAAUAUCCAUCAAUUUUGUGCAACUUAAUUGAGGGUUGAGCUAGAGAAACCAUUAUCGAGUGCUUUCAUCCUUCUCCAAAGAUUGUUCUCAUGGAUUCUGGUAUGUCAAUCGCUUUUCGCACUAUGAUAAGUGAGAAUCAUGAUUAUUUAAGUUCUUGUGUACUACAAUUAAUUUUAUAUAACAGAUAUGCCAAGCCUGCAAAAUAAGAAUCUCGAUGAAUAUAACCCUAUUAAAUAAUGGAAUCUGCUAGGUAUAAGUUUUGAUGUCUUUAUCCUAUACCUGUCCGAACAAGAAAAGNNN
This 325-nucleotide long non-coding RNA is filed under the name Olea europaea (common olive). RNAcentral describes it as "long non-coding RNA (OEUR_LNC003477)". Lineage: Eukaryota; Viridiplantae; Streptophyta; Magnoliopsida; Lamiales; Oleaceae. The record is from RNAcentral.